CCGCACAAGCGGUGGAGUAUGUGGUUUAAUCGAUGCAACGCGAAGAACCUUACCUGGUCUUGACAUCCCGGAGACCCUUAGGAACUAGGGGUGCUUCCAUCUGGAAGAAUCUGGAGACAGGUGCUGCAUGGCUGUCGUCAGCUCGUGUCGUGAGAUGUUGGGUUAAGUCCCGCAACGAGCGCAACCCUUGCCUUUAGUUGCCAGCAGUUCGGCUGGGCACUCUAAAGGGACUGCCGGUGUUAAACCGGAGGAAGGUGGGGAUGACGUCAAGUCCUCAUGGCCUUUAUGACCAGGGCUACACACGUACUACAAUGGCCGAUACAAAGGGCAGCGACACUGCGAGGUGAAGCCAAUCCCGUAAAAUCGGUCUCAGUCCGGAUUGGAGUCUGCAACUCGACUCCAUGAAGUUGGAAUCGCUAGUAAUCGUGGAUCAGCAUGCCACGGUGAAUACGUUCCCGGGCCUU
This 464-nucleotide ribosomal RNA is filed under the name uncultured Desulfobulbus sp. RNAcentral describes it as "bacterial SSU rRNA". It matches the Rfam family "Bacterial small subunit ribosomal RNA", at positions 921 to 1382 of the family's 1533-position model. The record is from RNAcentral. Lineage: Bacteria; Pseudomonadati; Thermodesulfobacteriota; Desulfobulbia; Desulfobulbales; Desulfobulbaceae.